RNAcentral lists this transfer RNA (84 nucleotides) under bacterium. RNAcentral's name for it is "tRNA-Leu". It matches the Rfam family "tRNA". Rfam says of the family: Transfer RNA (tRNA) molecules are approximately 80 nucleotides in length. Their secondary structure includes four short double-helical elements and three loops (D, anti-codon, and T loops). The record is from RNAcentral.
GGGCGGGUGAUGAAAUUGGUAACCAUGCCACUUUGAGGGGGUGGUGGCCGAAAGGCCUUGGAGGUUCGAGUCCUCUCCCGCCCA